This 400-nucleotide ribosomal RNA is filed under the name uncultured bacterium. RNAcentral's name for it is "bacterial SSU rRNA". It matches the Rfam family "Bacterial small subunit ribosomal RNA", at positions 29 to 429 of the family's 1533-position model. The record is from RNAcentral.
AUUGAACGCUGGCGGCGUGCCUAACACAUGCAAGUCGAGCGGUAACAGGUGUAGCAAUACAUGCUGACGAGCGGCGGACGGGUGAGUAACGCUUGGGAAUCUGCCUAUUAGUGGGGGACAACCCGGGGAAACUCGGGCUAAUACCGCAUACGCACUACGGUGGAAAGCCGGGGACCGCAAGGCCUGGCGCUAACAGAUGAGCCCAAGUCGGAUUAGCUAGUUGGUAGGGUAACGGCCACCAAGGCGACGAUCCGUAGCUGGUCUGAGAGGAUGAUCAGCCACACUGGGACUGAGACACGGCCCAGACUCCUACGGGAGGCAGCAGUGGGGAAUAUUGGACAAUGGGGGCAACCCUGAUCCAGCAAUGCCGCGUGAGUGAUGAAGGCCUUAGGGUUGUAAA